GCCGUCCUAGCUCAAUGGUAGAGCUACAGUUUUGUAAACUGUGGGUUAUCGGUUCGAAUCCGAUGGACGGCUC
This 73-nucleotide transfer RNA is filed under the name Parcubacteria group bacterium ADurb.Bin316. Its description in RNAcentral is "tRNA-Thr". It matches the Rfam family "tRNA". From Rfam's summary of the family: Transfer RNA (tRNA) molecules are approximately 80 nucleotides in length. The record is from RNAcentral.